CCUACGGGAGGCAGCAGUGAGGAAUAUUGGUCAAUGGCCGAAAGUCUGAACCAGCCAAGCCGCGUGCGGGAAGAAUGCCCUAUGGAUUGUAAACUGCUUUUGUCAGGGAGCAAACUCAGCUACGUGUGUCUGUCUGAGAGUACCUUAAGAAUAAGCAUCGGCUAACUCCGUGCCAGCAGCCGCGGUAAUACGGAGGAUUCAAGCGUUAUCCGGAUUUAUUGGGUUUAAAGGGUGCGUAGGCGGGGGGACAAGUUAGGGGUGAAAUCCCGGGGGCCAACUUCGGAACUGCCUUUGAUACGGUUGGGCUGGAGUGUGGGUGAGGUAGGCGGAAUGUAUGGUGUAGCGGUGAAAUGCAUAGAGAUCACACAGAACACCGAUUGCGAAGGCAGCUUACCAGGGUACGACUGACGCUGAGGCACGAAAGCGUGGGGAGCAAACAGGAUUAGAUACCCCAGUAGUC
Molecule: ribosomal RNA, 460 nt
Filed under: uncultured bacterium
Lineage: Bacteria
Description: partial 16S ribosomal RNA
Rfam family: Bacterial small subunit ribosomal RNA
Source: RNAcentral